RNAcentral lists this transfer RNA (62 nucleotides) under Geoscapheus crenulatus crenulatus. Its description in RNAcentral is "tRNA-Asp". Lineage: Eukaryota; Metazoa; Arthropoda; Insecta; Blattodea; Blaberidae. The record is from RNAcentral.
GAGAAGUUAGUUAAUUUAUAACAUUAGAUUGUCAAGCUAAAAUUAUCAAAAGAUAUUUCUCU